This 2423-nucleotide long non-coding RNA is filed under the name Homo sapiens (human). Its description in RNAcentral is "non-protein coding MEF2C-AS1:51". The record is from RNAcentral. Lineage: Eukaryota; Metazoa; Chordata; Mammalia; Primates; Hominidae.
GGAAGAGAAGGAGGAGGAGGAGGAGGAGGAGAAAGUGGCUCUCAGCGGCCGGUCGGAUUAAAAGUAACCAGACUCGUCCAGAAAACUGCGUCCAGGAAGGAAGUGACAGAAGACGAAUGGGAAAAGGAGAACAGCUCACAGCGUUUGAAACAUCGCGGCACCACUUUCAGAUAAAAACAUAGACCUGAAUGGCAUCAUCCAGUAUCCAAGGAAACCAUGUUCUCUAAACAUGAAUAUGCCUUUGGGGGAAGACAGAAGAACAUGGAAGCCAUGUGAAAAAAACGGAUCCUAAGGCAGUUUUGAACAUCUGGAGGCCUGAUUUAUUGGAGAUUGCAAAUGUACAGUGUAACAUAGCUGUGGAGAGCGAGAAGAUCAGGAUUGUCAAUGCUGUCAUUGCUUUUACUGGAAUCCCCAGCACGAAUUGAAGGUUUGACCAGAGACAAAGAAGCAAAUGCUAUCAAUUAACAUUCACAUGUGGUAGAGACUCCAUGAAGGAAAAAGUAUAGUAUUGAUGAGGAAUACCUUGUUAUAUUUCAAUAAGGAUACAUGGAUUCUAUAUCAUAUAAGAUCUCACAUGAGAUGGCAAAGAGGUCAAGACAAAAAUUCUGCAUUUGGGAAAAGAAUAACACAUGGACUUCCUCCUACAGGAUUAUAGGACUGUGUAUGUCCUACACACACAUUAUAUGUCCUACACGCACAGUGAUGAGGAGUGACAAAAUGAAGACUCCAGAAUCCUCUUUAUCAGAUCCUGAAUGUGCACUUUCUGAAGUGAAGUCCACUAUGUGCUGGGCACACAGAGAAUAGAGCAUGAAACAAAAGCAACAUGACCCUGCCCUCACCAAGACUACAGGGAGUGAUGGAGCAUACAACUUUGUUUCAGAAUGCAAUUCAGAUCUUCCCUUUCGCUUGGCUUCUUAAAACUUCUUUUGAGGAUGGUAAAAUUUCGUGUUAUAUUAAAUUUCAUCCUGUAACUGAUACUCUGGGAUGAUGUUGGCCAAUAACUAGCAAGACUUUAAAUAAUCAACUAGUUUAGGCAUUGCUUAGCACGCUCCAGCUGACUUCACAAGUAAAACCAUGUGAAGAAAGAAGGUUUUCAGGUAACACAGAUGGAGGUGAUGAUCUUUCUCAUUUUGUGGAAAAUAUUAAUUUCUCAUUUUUUAUUCACUGACAAUUAGUAAAAUUCCUUACUCUACCUAAUAUGUAGACUUCUGAACUAUGUAAGUAAAACUUUAUAGUAACUGAAAAGUUUGGGUAUUGUAUUUUCUUGGAGAAAAUGUUAGCUUCCCUCUGUUACUUUUAAAUGUUAAACUUUUAAUGAAUUUCAUCAAUGUAUAAUAAUGGGCAUAAUGAUCCACUCUGAAAUAUUUACUGUCAUUUUGAAUUUAUUCUUGAGUCAUCACAAACGUGUACAUCUCUUAUACCUUCAUGGAUGUUAUUGGUGAGAUGAUCUCUUGUUGUCAACACCUUGAGGAUAGGGACUUAUUCAGGCUCGCCUCUAGCAAGUGCUAAGUGCCUGGGAACACAUAAUAAAUAUUUCAUGAUAGGAGGAUGUUAGAAUAAGAGGAAAAACCAGAUUCUUACCCAAAUAAAUAAUAUUUAUUAUAUUCUUAUUUGUAUAUCAUUGUAACUGUAAAAAAAAGUUGCCUAGGGAUUUGUUUUAUUUGUACAAAUACUUGUUUUUUGUAUGUAAGAGUGCCAAAUAUAAAACUGCAUAACAUUUAGAAAUUACAGAAAUGUGUAUAUAUUUAUAUAGAGACAAGAAAAAUAAAAUUUUCAUUCUAUCAUAUAGAAAUAACUACAUUUGAAGUUAUUUCCCUCCUAUAUGUAAACUUUUACAUAGUUAAGUUUAUACAAUAUAUUUGCUUUCAAAACUCAUUUUCCAAUUAAACAUUAUAUCCAUUAGAAUGUUCAUGACAUCCUUUAUUUAUGCCUUAAAAUUUUUUUAAAUACGGUAAUGUAUAUGUCUACAACCAUUUCUGUUAUCUAAAAUGUGGGGCUAUUAUUAAUAAUAGUAAUUGCAGUCAUUUCCAGAGAGAGUUUGUUCUGUGCUAGACAUUGUGUACUUUUUACAACUAAUUUGUUAGGCUAGUUACUACAUUUAAUUUCAAGUGAAAGAGUUUAACAGAAGUUAAACAGGCCAGGCGCGGUGGCUCACACCUGCAAUCCCAGCACUUUGCGAGGCCGAGGUGGGCGGAUCACUUGAGGUCAGGAGUUUGAGACCAGCCUGGCCAACAUGGUGAAAACCCAUCUCUACUGUUAACACAAAAAUUAGCAGGGCAUGGUUGCAUGCACCUGUAAUCCCAGCUACUUGGGAGGCUGAGGCCGGAGAAUCGCUUAAGCCCAGAGGUGAAGGUUGCAGUGAGCCAAGAUUGCGCCAGUGCAGUCCAACCUCGGCAACAGGGCAAAGACCGUCUGCCCCUGCA